Molecule: ribosomal RNA, 249 nt
Filed under: uncultured organism
Description: partial 16S ribosomal RNA
Rfam family: Bacterial small subunit ribosomal RNA
Source: RNAcentral
UGGGGGAUAUUGGACAAUGGGCGAAAGCCUGAUCCAGCGACGCCGCGUGGAGGACGAAGCCCUUCGGGGUGUAAACUCCUUUUGCUAGGGAAAAAGGACUGAUGGUACCUAGCGAAUAAGCCCCGGCUAACUACGUGCCAGCAGCCGCGGUAAUACGUAGGGGGCGAGCGUUACCCGGAAUUACUGGGCGUAAAGGGCGCGUAGGUGGUUCGUCACGUCGGAUGUGAAAAUCUGGGGCUUAACCCCAGA